Molecule: long non-coding RNA, 1045 nt
Organism: Thunnus maccoyii (southern bluefin tuna)
Lineage: Eukaryota; Metazoa; Chordata; Actinopteri; Scombriformes; Scombridae
Exons: 2
Source: RefSeq, a predicted model, not a curated record
UUUGCAUUGCAGAUUUACUGUAUGUACACACGUCAGUCUUCCUCAUCCUCCUCAUCAUUUUCAGGGGUCACACAGCACUGAAUUUCAUGAGUGGCUGAGCAAUGAAAACAGAAUGAGAAAUUAGACAGUUAAUAUCCACAUUGACUUCAGGCUGACCUGACAUGACACCCAGCUAUACUGCCUAAUGACAUAUUGACUGACUGUUUUGAUUAUAUUGAAGACAAAAGCCUGAAGUUAAAACAUACAGGCUAAAGACCAUAAAAAAGAAAAAGAAAAAACAACUCAGUCAUCUUUUUUCCAUUCUGGUAGAUUUAAAAUGAUUUAAAAGAUCAUAGCCUAGCCCUUGUGUUUUCCUGGUGUUUUUCCUCUCAGUCUGUCUGUGUGUGUGGUGUAGGCGUGUUUGUUCUCUGGCUCUCUCUCCCUCCACACCUGCUGCUUAGUAUGGAAUCAGCUCACCUGCCUGUCAUCAAGCCAUCAUCACUCCACUACAAGGAGAUUGCACAGACAGCCAGUCCCUGCCGAAUUGCCAUGCCAUUCACGGAAUACCUGCCUGCUUGCCCGCCAAGUCAGCUCUCAUCCUAGAAAUUGGACAUUUCUCAGACUCUUCCCCCUCACCUCAGCCCUAACAUCAGCCAGCCUCCAUCUCACCAUCUGUACCUGCUCAAGCAAAUGAAGACUUAUUCACUUAUUUCACCAUUACCUACUAGUACAGUGUUUGCAUUUGGGUUCACCUGCUCAAUCCCACAUGACAAGAGAAAGCAUUUGUGGAAGAAAUCUUAUGCAUGAAAGGCUUGCUGAUAUACAGUUCUUAUAUACAGUAAUAUAAUUCUGCGCUUCAAAAAGCCUAUUUAGUUUCCUCUCAUUUCCAAGGGAAAUUUUGCACUUUAUUAAAUGGCAACCUCUCACUCUUGAGAUCAUUCACAUGUGUGAUGGGAGCUGCCAUGAGUAGUUAGUACCUGUAGUAACAGACCAAUUCAUUAAUAAUUGUUUUGAAGUUGACAUUUUCACUGCAAAAGGUCCAAUUAAAUAAAUCAGUGUACUUUUG